GGCGGGGCUAGACUGCCGGCGCCGCCGCCGCUACUGCUGCGUGCUCGCCUUCUGGCAGCUAGACCUCCUUCCGACCCGGAAGUACGUCUUCCCGUAGUGGUUUGAGUUCUUGUAGGAGCUCCCGUUCGGCCUCGGCGUCAAGUCGAGGCUCCUGAUGUACUACGAGAUGUGCUGCUAUAUGUUGUACACGUGCGUCUUCGGGGGCGUGCUGAUGAGCGUCGUCGAGAUGCUGUUCAUGGCGCUCAGGAAGCUCCUCAUGUAGAGGAGGUACCAGAAUGGAAGUAACUCUCUCUUCGUACUGCUCAAAUACAACUCCCUCGAUCAUUUCUCCACCAGAUUGGUGUUUCACUACCAAGCCACCGAUAGUGCCAAGAAGGUAAUGGAACUAGCUAUGAAGUAAAGUGCAUCUAGCGAAGGUCGUAACUCUCUUCAACCCGAGUCAACGAAAGCUCUAAACCAUAUAGUUCUUUAGUUUCCCUUUCAUUUUUCACGUCAGUAAAGGAACUAUCUGGUUCUUGCACUCCCACUUGUUUAACUGUCCCGAGACAAUUUCUUACAGAACCUAUAUAAACAACUCUAACCGAAUCCGUCAUACCUUACAAUGCUCUUACUAAAACUUCUAAAGAACGACUUCCUAUGACGUCUAAUGAUGAGAUAGUUCCGGGUUUGGACCUAGCACCUUCUGAGAACAGGACUGAUAUACAAUUUCCGGCUCCUCACGAACUUCUCCCUCUUCCUUGCUCAACGAGUAAUAAACGUAAGAUCAUCACUUGGCUUCAAUAACCUCUUUCACGUUGUACUCAACAAUUGCGUCAUACGUUCGGUUGAAAACCUCUUCCUCGUAAGACCUACGGUACGUAAUGAAGCACUACUGUUCCAACUCCUAGAGAGUUCCUACAUGUCCGAGAAAAGAUCUUAUUGAGCACCGGAUCUUGGACAAAGAGUUUAAAAAUUCGUCGUACAAUGGUUGCUUCCCUGUCGUAACCACUUUGUUCGUCUUCUACGACGAUCAUUAUUCUUCGGUCUCUUCUUCCUGUAACAACCAAACGUCCUUGUCCAAAAACAGGCCUUUUAGUAACUCGAGGUACUGUUCAUACAUCGUAUGCAGUGACUGACAAAGGUCCCCGUAUGGGAGAAGGUAUUCCGCGAAUUUCUCCGAAAACUUCACAAGACGUUGUUUCCACAGAGACCAUCAAGUUCACGACUUAACGAACGGUGGAAGACACUAUUAUAAAAUUUCUUUCCGCCGUCACUUUUUGAGUCACUACUUCGAUAACUCCUAUGGGACCUCUUCCAUCACUCUAAUGAGCGGAUGUAGUCACUAUUCCUGGAAAAACGACUCAAAAUGUCCUUCUUCGACCGAUCCUCUAACGAUAAACUGUUCUCACGAUUACUACUCGUGCUUUCUUCGUAAGACUGGUUCGAUUUUGUUGUCACACCACCGGUUAAAUGAAGUUUUUACCUCCCGUACCAGUGACUGGAAUGACAACGUUCCCUAGUAGUUUGAUUCAAACUUCUCAAGUAUUCGUGUGUGGGACUUAACUUAGGACCCUAUCUGAACCGUCAAUGACAAGACUGUUGUCCUAAAACCGGUUGAAUAUUUAGUAAGCUAUAUUUGGAAGGACGACUCUACCACUCUACACACCUCCAAAAGUUUCUCAAAAUAGUUUGUUCUUGAUUCGUAUCUUUUGAAUGUACCUAUAUAAGGAACCCUUAGACGGUAUAGUGGCGUUUCAAACUCCGGUUCUGAUAGCUCGAGUAACAAUGUUGAAUGGUCCGACGUAACAACGAUAACAAGUUACCUCGACUAUUUGAAUCAAUGAGACUCUAUCAUUGCGUUGACUUGGACAGUCUACUGCUACAUCACUCCAACGAGGUAAGAGAGAGAACACGCUUUAUGUUCUAAGAAUGAUUUCUUGGUUCAUUGUCUAGAUAAAGAGGAUUACUACAUAAACUUAAAUUAAGUUUUAAAUGACUGUUCUACUCCUCUUAAUUCUAUGGAGACGGAGGUCAACUACUCUUUUUCUUCCAUCAACUUCUACAACUGUUCCUAGCUUCUAUGCGUUAACUACGUAGGUAACAAGCAUAAUACUUCUCGGCCUUUCAGAAUCCAGUGGUCUGUGAUCAUUACCUCACACACCUCGUUGAACCAGCGUACAAGUUCGGGCUGAAGUUUCGUUAAUUCUUCGCGUAACUCCUAGAAUAUUGGUCCCUAAUGGACCUCUCCCUGUUCCUCUUGGGCUUGCAGAUGGCUAUGAACCGAACUAGUAGCCAAGAGGUACGACCCAAGCCAUUGUAGACCGCACAUACGGAUGGUUCGAUGACGAUAAAUUCCUACGAUAUAAAACACGGUACCGUGUGGUGUAACCGAACAGGUCUACCUAUGGGACCACCGCCGUGACUGUAGACAGUAAACAUGUACUUCCAACAGUCUAGGUCAAGGAACCGGGAUGGACAUACUAUCUUGACGGGACCAUUCUCUUCCACCAAGCAACCCCGUCCGGAACCAUUUACAACAUGUGAGGACGACCAACAACACAAGUCAAAAAAGCUAACAUAAUAGUUAUAUCAAAGGGACAUUAUAUAGGAACGCUGUGUUUCUAUUAAGUUUCCUUACAUAGAGAACGAUCUGGUGGAAGCCGCCACAUUAAAGAGAUCGUCGCCGUUCUCUAACAUAACACUGAAGUGUUCCUAAAGUAUAUUUCUCUACUACUAUCUACAGUUUUGACCCUAGUACAUUUUAAAGGAGCUCCGGGUAAACUUGGACUGCCAAUGUCACGUACAGCUGUCCCCUUUGAUGUUGCGGAAGACCUUGUUUAACCUAAACUCCAAGGAAAUGCUCAAAACUCCUGAGAUGAUCACUCGGGCACCUAAGCUCGACCAGAAGGCACGAGACUAGGAAAAACUCAAACAAACAAGAGCUCACAAAAACAGAGCUACCUAAGUUAUUUCGAGACGGCAUCUAAGUACAACAGAAAACCCAUCACUCCAAUCGCAAAGAAUGACAUAACCCGGUACCACCAUACUACGAUCCACGAAGUAUAGCUAAGUUCCCAAGUUGUUGUUGUUAGAUAUUACACCAAGGAAUCAAUGUUACGUACUUCUAAAAGACCGACACUAGCUAUUC
RNAcentral lists this ribosomal RNA (3127 nucleotides) under Triticum aestivum (bread wheat). RNAcentral describes it as "partial small subunit ribosomal RNA". The record is from RNAcentral. Lineage: Eukaryota; Viridiplantae; Streptophyta; Magnoliopsida; Poales; Poaceae.